This 484-nucleotide ribosomal RNA is filed under the name uncultured bacterium. RNAcentral's name for it is "partial 16S ribosomal RNA". It matches the Rfam family "Bacterial small subunit ribosomal RNA", at positions 30 to 507 of the family's 1533-position model. The record is from RNAcentral.
AUUGAACGCUGGCGGCAUGCUUUACACAUGCAAGUCGAACGAUGAACCUUAGCUUGCUAAGGGUAUUAGUGGCGAAAGGGUGAGUAUUAUAUCGGAAUGUGCCUUGUAAUGGGGGAUAACUAGUCGAAAGAUCAGCUAAUAACGCAUACGCCCUGCGGGGGAAAGUAGGGGAUCUUCGGACAUUACGUUAUAAGAGCGGCCGAUAUCUGAUUAGCUAGUUGGUGGGGUAAUGGCCUACCAAGGCGACGAUCAGUAGCUGGUCUGAGAGGACGACCAGCCACACUGGAACUGAGACACGGUCCAGACUCCUACGGGAGGCAGCAGUGGGGAAUGUUGGACAGUGGGCGCAAGCCUGAUCCAGCCAUUCCGCGUGAGUGAAGAAGGCCUUCGGGUUGUAAAGCUCUUUCGCGAGGGAAGAAAACUUACCAUCGAAUAAAUGGUGAGGCUGACGGUACCUUGAUAAGAAGCACCGGCUAACUACGUG